UACAUUUAAGUAUAAGAAGUACGGAAAUUUUUGAUAUUUCUAGAGGAAGUUUAAUUCUUCCAAAUGUAA
This 69-nucleotide transfer RNA is filed under the name Macrodorcas seguyi. RNAcentral describes it as "tRNA-Gln". Lineage: Eukaryota; Metazoa; Arthropoda; Insecta; Coleoptera; Lucanidae. The record is from RNAcentral.